CAGUCGCCGCGGGAAUACGUAGGGUGCAAGCGUUAAUCGGAAUUACUGGGCGUAAAGCGUGCGCAGGCGGUUUGUUAAGACAGAUGUGAAAUCCCCGGGCUCAACCUGGGAACUGCAUUUGUGACUGGCAAGCUAGAGUAUGGCAGAGGGGGGUGGAAUUCCGCGUGUAGCAGUGAAAUGCGUAGAUAUGCGGAGGAACACCGAUGGCGAAGGCAGCCCCCUGGGCCAAUACUGACGCUCAUGCACGAAAGCGUGGGGAGCAAACAGGAUUAGAGACCCCCGUAGUCCCUGUCUCUUAUAC
This 301-nucleotide ribosomal RNA is filed under the name uncultured bacterium. Its description in RNAcentral is "partial 16S ribosomal RNA". It matches the Rfam family "Bacterial small subunit ribosomal RNA", at positions 509 to 807 of the family's 1533-position model. The record is from RNAcentral.